Molecule: ribosomal RNA, 432 nt
Filed under: uncultured bacterium
Lineage: Bacteria
Description: partial 16S ribosomal RNA
Rfam family: Bacterial small subunit ribosomal RNA
Source: RNAcentral
CCUACGGGAGGCAGCAGCGAGGAAUUUUGCACAAUCGACGCAAGUCGGAUGCAGCAACGCCGCGUGGGGGAAGAAGGCUCUCGAGUUGUAAACCCCUUUUGUGAGGGAAGCGGUACCUCACGAAUAAGUCACGGCUAACUACGUGCCAGCAGCCGCGGUAAUACGUAGGUGGCGAACGUUGUCCGGAUUUACUGGGCGUAAAGCGCGUGCAGGCGGACUGAUAAGUCAGAGGUGAAAUCUCCCGGCUCAACUGGGAGGGGCCCUUUGAUACUGUCAGUCUUGAGAUGCCUAGAGGAGAGUGGAAUUCCCGGUGUAGUGGUGGAAUGCGUAGAUAUCGGGAGGAACACCAGUGGCGAAAGCGACUCUCUGGGGGCGUCUGACGCUGAGACGCGAAAGCGUGGGGAGCAAACCGGAUUAGAUACCCUUGUAGUC